AGUGGCGGACGGGUGAGUAACGCGUGAGAAUCUGCCUUGGGGUCGGGGACAACCACUGGAAACGGUGGCUAAUACCGGAUAAGCCGAUUGGUGAAAGAUUUAUUGCCCGAAGAGGAGCUUGCGUCCGAUUAGCUAGUUGGUAAGGUAAAAGCUUACCAAGGCGACGAUCGGUAGCCGGUCUGAGAGGACAAUCGGCCACACUGGGACUGAGACACGGCCCAGACUCCUACGGGAGGCAGCAGUGGGGAAUUUUCCGCAAUGGGCGCAAGCCUGACGGAGCAAGACCGCGUGGGGGAGGAAUGCCUUAGGGUUGUAAACCCCUUUUAUCUGGGAAGAACAAAAUGACGGUACCAGAUGAAUAAGCCUCGGCUAACUCCGUGCCAGCAGCCGCGGUAAUACGGAGGAGGCAAGCGUUAUCCGGAUUUAUUGGGCGUAAAGCGUUCGCAGGUGGUUCUUCAAGUCUGCUGUUAAAGACAGUGGCUCAACUACUGAAAGGCAGUAGAUACUGAAGGACUAGAGUGCGGUAGGGGCAGAGGGAAUUCCCGGUGUAGCGGUGAAAUGCGUAGAUUUCGGGAAGAACAUCGGUGGCGAAAGCGCUCUGCUGGGCCGCAACUGACACUCAGGGACGAAAGCUAGGGGAGCGAAUGGGAUUAGAUACCCC
This 661-nucleotide ribosomal RNA is filed under the name uncultured bacterium. Its description in RNAcentral is "bacterial SSU rRNA". It matches the Rfam family "Bacterial small subunit ribosomal RNA", at positions 94 to 788 of the family's 1533-position model. The record is from RNAcentral.